This is a long non-coding RNA of Nannospalax galili (Upper Galilee mountains blind mole rat), 432 nucleotides long. RefSeq lists it as uncharacterized. The transcript is spliced from 3 exons. NCBI's taxonomy places the organism in Eukaryota, Metazoa, Chordata, Mammalia, Rodentia, Spalacidae. The record is from RefSeq and is a predicted model, not a curated record.
GUGCGCUGUGUCCAGAGCUGGGAUCAGGAAGUGUGUGGCCUCCAAGGUGAACUGUGGAGGUGGCCUUCGGAGCAUGGAAGCCAGAUGGGGCACUCACAGACAGUAGGGUGCCGUUGGCCAUGUACCAGAUGCAACACCUCAUUGGGACUGACACUAAACGCCAAACCUGAGUGAAAUCUGGAUUCCAUUCUUAUUGAGGCACAACCAAGCAAGAGUUCCUGUUUGCUGAAUUGACCAAUGAAGUUCAGUCUGAUUGAGUGUGAUACUUGCUGGCCCUACUUUUGUUCAGCCUUUGCAGACAUGGCUCCAUUGUCAUCUGGAAUUAAUGCUGCCAUAAUGAAAUCUGAGCAACAUAAAUCUAAAGUCAACUAUUUCCUGUGUGUUUUAUGCCCAGGGUCUAAAGAAUUCUUUCUUUAUAUAAGAAAUUUAGCA